GACAGAGGCCCCGAGCGUUAGUCGGAAUUACUGGGCUUAAAGGGUGCGUAGGCGGGCGUGUAAGUGUCUUGUGAAAGCCCCGGGCUCAACCCGGGAACCGCAGGGCAUACUGCACGUCUCGAAGAAGCUAGAGGCCGGUGGAACGAUCGGUGGAGCGGUGGAAUGCGUAGAGAUCGAUCGGAACGCCAAGGGUGAAGACAACCGGCUGGGGCUUUCUUGACGCUGAGGCACGAAAGCGUGGGGAUCAAACAGG
This 253-nucleotide ribosomal RNA is filed under the name uncultured bacterium. Its description in RNAcentral is "partial 16S ribosomal RNA". It matches the Rfam family "Bacterial small subunit ribosomal RNA", at positions 524 to 776 of the family's 1533-position model. The record is from RNAcentral.